RNAcentral lists this ribosomal RNA (221 nucleotides) under uncultured Bacteroidota bacterium. RNAcentral describes it as "uncultured Bacteroidetes bacterium partial 16S ribosomal RNA". It matches the Rfam family "Bacterial small subunit ribosomal RNA", at positions 46 to 264 of the family's 1533-position model. The record is from RNAcentral. Lineage: Bacteria; Pseudomonadati; Bacteroidota.
AGGCCUUAUACAUGCAAGUCGAACGGUAACAUUGGUGCUUGACCAGAUGACGAGUGGCGCACGGGUGCGUAACGCGUAUGCAACCUACCUUUUACUAGAGUAUAGCCCAGAGAAAUUUGGAUUAAUCCUCUAUAACAUCUUUAAUUUCAUGAUUAUUAGAUUAAAGUUUUAACGGUAAAAGAUGGGCAUGCGUCCUAUUAGUUUGUAGGUGAGGUAACGGC